UUCCGUUUCCGUUUCGUGUCCCCGGGACCGGGCAUUUUGCUUCGAUUUUAUCGCUUGCUUUUUGCUUUACAUUUCUUUGAAAUUGAAACUUUUCUUUAUAGGGGGCUAUGUUGCUGUUUCGCGUGCUUAAGAUAUUUGUGAUUGUGUCCAGGGUUGCGGCUUCCUUGAGGAACUCGAUAUUUCGUAUUUAACCAAUCUUGAAUCGCAGACAUUUCUCGAGGCUUGGAAUUAAAAUAAUAUUUUUGUUCGCGAUGUGCGGCGCUCGCUGAAAAACUUCGUCGGGGGAGACUCCUUGAAGUUAUCAACCGAGUUGGACGACUACUGCGCCUGCGCACUGCGCGGAAUACGAUCUAUUCUCACCGGCAAAUCUUCUGGAGUUUAUUCGCGAAAUAGGCUCACAGUAGCUGAUAACGAAGGAAUUAUGGACGAAGAUAAUUCAAGCAUGUACAAUUGUGAAAUUGUAACCGAUAGCGAAGUCCGUCGCUUGACACCGCCAGGAUUUUUACACGACCUCGUGUAACAUGGACUCUGAUCGCAUCAUUCUCUCACUGUCCUGUGACCGGUCGUCAUUUUUUAUGCCGCAAUCAGCUGUCGACGAAUAUCGGAGACAUGCGAUUUCAAUGAAAACCUAAUGGAAUCAUGCAAUGGAUAUUACGACGUAUGCAGAAUUCGGUCUCACGCCUCGAUUCAUCAUCCGUUUUCCAUUUCUUGCGAACGUGAUCGGCCGCUUGAAUAAAAUUAACACGCGAACUUUGGUGCCGGCGUUACGUCACAGUCCAAUCGGCUAUGAUUCACUAUGCACCGAGCAUAUCGUAUAACACGGCUUUUCAAGGCUCUCAUACUACGACCGCCCGCAGUCCUCGAUAUCAAGUGCCGGUUUUGUAAUUAUCACCACAGAAUUCAAUUAACAGUUCUUCAUUAGAACGGCAGAGUAUUAACGAAAAUUGCAGCCUCGCAUGUAUAUAACGAUAGUAGUUCCGCGAGGACAAGUAAUCGCGGAGCAAAUAUCGGUGACCAGGGAAGAAGUAUCGUCGGUGGCUGACGCAGCAGCGAAUCAAAUAUUUAUUAGAUAUCGUACGUCCCUGGCCUUCUGAAAGGAAUCAUAAACGUUGGUGGCCUUUCCAUUAAUGUUAAAAUCGGGACGCCGUUUUAUUUACGCCGGACUAGCGAAAAGUAUCAAUGGUCGCCCACGUAAGUUCGUGUAGAAGUGCAACAGGCGCUGAAUUUAGCGCAGACAGCGAGAGAGUCGCGCCAAGGUGGGGAGCCAAGCCAGUGUGUUUAUGCCGUUGGCCGCGGACCUUGCCGGUUUAGUUCCAAGAGACAAAUUACGCGCAGGCUCGCGAGAGAGUUGCUGAACCCGUUCCUGGCGGAUAGUUAAAUCGUAGGAGGCCUGCGGAGACAGAACGAACCGCGCAGGAUACAGCAAAACAUCCCUCCGUUUAUGCCAAAAAACGUUGAAACGUGUGUCGUUGACCUGCCUGAUGCACGACGUACGCGCGUUAUACGACGUCAGCGCCGGUGUGACGAGCUUAGCGCCGUCUAUGACCAUUAUUCUCUGUUUACGAGAGACACGGUAGAGGCAGGUGGUCACAUGGGAUUCUACACUGUUGUCCUGGAUCCGUGGCCGCCGACGAUGCGUAAUCUCUCCAGCUGGAUAACAAAACGACACGAAUUCCCCGUACAACCGCCGUUACGCGCUAGAGAAACCGCAAAGCGUUUGAUUUAGCUCUGUCGGUUUGCUGCGUGGGCGGCUCGCCAUCUCUCCGUUCACUCUCCGCCGCUGCUUUACCACCGACCAAUCGUCUGGUGACGUCACACACCGUAGAAGGGGAAUAUAAAACCUGUUCGACCGUCUCCUUCCUUUUUUUCCCCCGUAGUUCCCGUGUCCGAUUCGUUCUGUCCUAUCUCUCGUCUAUUUCAUCCGACGCCGAGUAAAAUAAUAUUCGAAAUGGUAAACAGUGAGUUUAACCUGUUUAAAUACGUAUCAACUACGCAUAUCUCCGAAUAUAAAAUAUCCUAUUUGCAAUUAGAACACUUCGUAAUACGUGUUUACCGAACGUUUGCGUCACAUCUCAAAUAUUAUUUUACCUGCGCCAGGCUUGCGGUCGAAAGGCAAAACAAGCUGAAUUACAUUUUUAGACGAUUUCUGUUUACUUCUCGACCCCCCCCCCCGGGUCAGGAAGACAGUUUUUUUACUUUUUCAAAGGAAAUGCAUGAAAAGCAAUUUUUACGCCGCGACGAUAUUGUAUAGACACUGCAUAGAACCAUAGCAAUUUUAAUUAUGAAAAAUAAUUUGUGCUUUCUGUAUGCACAGUGUUGUUAUUUAUAGCUAUUUGUUUACAGCUAUUUUAUAUAGAAAAAUUACCAACCGAAUGACAAAUUUUAAAUAAGAUGUUAAACUGUAUAACUAUGAGUAACAACAAUUUUUUCAGGCGGGUUAAAAUAUGUCACGCUAUACAUAAAUAGCUAAGCAAAAGAUGGGACAGUUUUUAACCCGCCUUACUAUCGUUAUUAAUAUUACAGAUACAAUAUUAACCAUUUCAAUAUAUAUAUAUGGGAGAAGGUAUUCGAAGGUAUAUAUAUAUAUAUACCUUCUCCCAUACCAUUCAAUUUUGCUGUAUAGUUUUGUUAUAUUAAUAUUAUUUGUACCGUUUA
This is a long non-coding RNA of Megalopta genalis, 2655 nucleotides long. RefSeq lists it as uncharacterized. NCBI's taxonomy places the organism in Eukaryota, Metazoa, Arthropoda, Insecta, Hymenoptera, Halictidae. The record is from RefSeq and is a predicted model, not a curated record.